GAAUCCCAACUACCCCAGUAAAAAUACAUAAUGAAUCUACCCCAUAUUUUGAUCAAAAUUACUCCCAUUUUCUUACUAUAUAAAGACAUUUUUCAUUACCAACUUCCUUGCCUCUCUAUAUUCAUUCUUUGACAAGAGAUCCUUUUGCACCAACUUUUUAAGCUUUAAAGAAAUGGAGACAUUCUUGUUCACAUCUGAAUCUGUUAAUGAGGGACAUCCUGACAAACUCUGUGACCAAGUAUCUGAUGCUGUUCUUGAUGCAUGUCUUGCUCAGGAUCCUGAAAGCAAAGUUGCUUGUGAAACUUGUACUAAGACCAACUUGGUCAUGGUCUUUGGUGAGAUCACCACCAAAGCCAUUGUAGAUUAUGAGAAAAUCGUUCGUGAUACAUGUCGUGCGAUUGGAUUCGUAUCCGCUGAUGUGGGGUUGGAUGCUGAUAACUGCAAGGUUCUUGUGAAUAUUGAACAGCAGAGCCCUGAUAUCGCGCAAGGUGUUCAUGGUCACUUAACCAAAAAACCAGAGGAAAUUGGUGCUGGUGAUCAAGGUCACAUGUUUGGUUAUGCCACUGAUGAGACACCUGAAUUGAUGCCCCUUAGCCAUGUUUUAGCUACUAAACUUGGCGCUCGCCUUACUGAGGUUCGCAAGAAUGGAACUUGUGCGUGGCUCAGGCCUGAUGGUAAAACUCAGGUGACUGUUGAGUAUUACAAUGACAAUGGUGCUAUGGUUCCGGUUCGUGUCCAUACUGUCCUCAUCUCCACUCAACAUGAUGAGACUGUUACAAACGAUGAAAUUGCCCGUGAUCUGAAAGAGCAUGUCAUCGAACCCGUGAUACCCUAGAAGUAUCUUGAUGAGAACACAAUUUUCCACCUUAACCCUUCGGGCCGAUUUGUCAUUGGUGGACCUCAUGGUGAUGCUGGCCUCACAGGCCGAAAGAUCAUUAUCGAUACUUAUGGGGGGUGGGGUGCUCAUGGGGGUGGUGCAUUUUCAGGAAAGGAUCCUACUAAGGUUGAUAGAAGUGGUGCAUAUAUUGUAAGACAAGCUGCAAAAAGCAUUGUUGCCAAUGGUCUUGCUAGAAGGUGCAUUGUGCAGGUUUCAUACGCCAUCGGCGUGCCGGAACCACUGUCUGUGUUUGUUGAGACUUAUGGAACUGGAAAAAUACCAGAUAAGGAAAUUCUCAAGAUUGUGAAGGAGAAUUUUGAUUUUAGGCCUGGUAUGAUGUCAAUUGACUUGGAUUUAAAGAGAGGUGGCAACAACAGAUUCUUGAAAACUGCUGCUUAUGGUCAUUUUGGUAGAGAUGAUCCUGACUUUACAUGGGAAGUUGUUAAGCCUCUCAAGUGGGACAAGCCUCAAUCUUGAUUCUUAUGCAGUUGUUUCUUCUUUAAGUUUUUCAAUAUCUUAAAUUUCUUUUAUUCUUGGUUUAAGAAAUAUUGUUCUGAACUUUCUUGGGAAAGUGGAGUAUACUUGGCAUUAUUGGUUGAGGUUAUAAACUCUUGCCUUUUGUUAUAUGUUGCUGUAGGCAGUAGGCAUGCUAGAACCUUUUUUGGUCCAAAAGGUACUUGGCCACUAGCUUUCAAUUCAUUCACUAAUCAUAAACAUGUUCAAUUAA
Molecule: RNA transcript, 1604 nt
Organism: Nicotiana attenuata
Lineage: Eukaryota; Viridiplantae; Streptophyta; Magnoliopsida; Solanales; Solanaceae
Gene name: S-adenosylmethionine synthase 1-like
Exons: 2
Source: RefSeq, a predicted model, not a curated record